RNAcentral lists this long non-coding RNA (377 nucleotides) under Neogale vison (American mink). RNAcentral's name for it is "Neovison vison (American mink) lncRNA (ENSNVIG00000015770.1)". Lineage: Eukaryota; Metazoa; Chordata; Mammalia; Carnivora; Mustelidae. The record is from RNAcentral.
UUAUACUAUUUAUACUUCCAGAAUGCACUAAUUUGCAAAGUGGAAGCUGAGAACAUCCAUCUGCCCAUUGGUGAAUGAGCAGAGAAAACCUUGUAUCUAUAAAGCCAGAGCGGAGGCAUGGAAGAAAUGAUGCUGAGUUAAUCUUCCACAUCCUGGGUGUAAAUCUUCCCAGUUGCUUGGCUAGUAUCAAACAUCCCACAUCUGCCUGCACAGUAAGUACAUUUUUCUGAUUCAGUAGUAGCAGGAGAAGGUCAAGUGGUCAUUUUAUAGUUCCAGCUUCAAUUUCAGUGAGAUGUUUUUUGUGUAAUCUUAGCAGUGUGUUGUCUGUAAGAACCAGAACCAGAAUCCAAGAAUAUGAGGACAGAAUUCCAUAAGUA